This 500-nucleotide ribosomal RNA is filed under the name uncultured bacterium. RNAcentral's name for it is "bacterial SSU rRNA". It matches the Rfam family "Bacterial small subunit ribosomal RNA", at positions 305 to 797 of the family's 1533-position model. The record is from RNAcentral.
CAGCCACACUGGGACUGAGACACGGCCCAGACUCCUACGGGAGGCAGCAGUGGGGAAUAUUGGACAAUGGGCGCAAGCCUGAUCCAGCAAUGCCGCGUGGGUGAAGACGGCCUGCGGGUUGUAAAGCCCUUUCAGCGGGGAGGAAAAGCACACGGCUAAUAUCCGGGUGUCUUGACGUUACCUGCAGAAGAAGCACCGGCUAACUCCGUGCCAGCAGCCGCGGUAAUACGGAGGGUGCGAGCGUUAAUCGGAAUUACUGGGCGUAAAGGGCGCGUAGGCGGCCUGUUAAGUCGGGUGUGAAAGCCCCGGGCUCAACCUGGGAAUGGCAUUCGAGACUGGCAGGCUAGAGUGUGGUAGAGGGAAGUGGAAUUCCAGGUGUAGCGGUGAAAUGCGUAGAUAUCUGGAGGANCNCCGGUGGCGAAGGCGGCUUCCUGGACCAACACUGACGCUGAGGUGCGAAAGCGUGGGUAGCAAACAGGAUUAGAUACCCUGGUAGUCAA